Molecule: ribosomal RNA, 255 nt
Filed under: uncultured bacterium
Lineage: Bacteria
Description: partial 16S ribosomal RNA
Rfam family: Bacterial small subunit ribosomal RNA
Source: RNAcentral
UACGUAGGGGGCUAGCGUUGUCCGGAUUUAUUGGGCGUAAAGAGCGUGUAGGCGGCCAGGUAGGUCUGCUGUGAAAACUCGAGGCUUAACCUCGAGACGUCGGCGGAAACCAUCUGGCUAGAGUCCGGAAGAGGAGAGUGGAAUUCCCUGGUGUAGCGGUGAAAUGCGCAGAUAUCAGGAAGAACACCCGUGGCGAAGGCGGCGUCUCUGGGACAGUACUGACGCUGAGACGCGAAAGCGUGGGGAGCGAACAGG